AGCAAAUUUUUAUGUUUUGGGGAUAUGGAAGAUGAAAUAUGGCUUUAAAAUGACCCCCCAUGAGCACGCAACUCCUGGAGAUCCAACUGUGCUACUCACCGUGCAAAACGGCAGUAACACUGCCUCAAAAUUAGCGUGGUCGCGCUAUGGGCACGCUACCCCGCGCGCAUAUCACAUAUUGUUCUGUAAAAUGCACAUAACAUUUUGCAAAGAGAUCUGUUUGGGUUCCAUAAUAUAUCGUUGAAAAGAUAUUUCAAAGUCCUACAACUUUCUUGCUUUGAGCUUUCCCCAGUUGCUUACAAAUUUUCACUAAACCUUACUGGAAGAUGGACCUUAUGCAAACUUAGUCAAUUUUGUCGAAUCUUA
RNAcentral lists this long non-coding RNA (366 nucleotides) under Nicotiana benthamiana. Its description in RNAcentral is "long non-coding RNA (NBEN_LNC015701)". The record is from RNAcentral. Lineage: Eukaryota; Viridiplantae; Streptophyta; Magnoliopsida; Solanales; Solanaceae.